AUUGAACGCUGGCGGCAGGCCUAACACAUGCAAGUCGAACGGUAGCACAGAGAGCUUGCUCUCGGGUGACGAGUGGCGGACGGGUGGGUAAUGUCUGGGAAACUGCCCGAUGGAGGGGGAUAACUACUGGAAACGGUAGCUAAUACCGCAUAACGUCUUCGGACCAAAGUGGGGGACCUUCGGGCCUCACACCAUCGGAUGUGCCCAGGUGGGAUUAGCUAGUAGGUGGGGUAAUGGCUCACCUAGGCGACGAUCCCUAGCUGGUCUGAGAGGAUGACCGGCCACACUGGAAAUGAGACACGGUCCAGACUCCUACGGGAGGCAGCAGUGGGGAAUAUUGCACAAUGGGCGCAAGCCUGAUGCAGCCAUGCCGCGUGUAUGAAGAAGGCCUUCGGGUUGUAAAGUACUUUCAGCGGGGAGGAAGGCGGUGAAGUUAAUAGCUUCAUCGAUUGACGUUACCCGCAGAAGAAGCACCGGCUAACUCCGUGCCAGCCGCCGCGGUAA
RNAcentral lists this ribosomal RNA (504 nucleotides) under uncultured bacterium. Its description in RNAcentral is "partial 16S ribosomal RNA". It matches the Rfam family "Bacterial small subunit ribosomal RNA", at positions 30 to 523 of the family's 1533-position model. The record is from RNAcentral.